UUUAGAUUUUGUUGAAGGCAACAAUGUCACAACUCUGAACAUACUCGUUUAUGGGUUCAACUGUGAGAUGCUCUUCUAUAACGGAAUCCACAGAGACAAGGUCAUCCACAAUGGUCAUCAUGAUCUGCAAUUUCUUUAUCCCAUAACCAACUGGAGCCAAUUUUGCUGCAACAAAUCCAUAGCACAACUAUUAACCAAGCAUUCAGUUGUCAAGGUCAGCAUAAGAAUAUAAGAAUGGUCAAUUUCGGUUUGAAGGGGGGAAAAAGGGUGUUUAAAUUAAUAAUCAAACCAUACAUGCUCCCCACAAGAGGCCUGGCAUCUCAAUACUGCGAACAGCCUCUUCCAGCUUCUUCAUGUCUGUCUCAUCAUCCCAAGGUUUCACAUCCAAAAGAACAGACGAUUUUCCACCUAAUAGAUACAAUUAGAAAAUAAAAUGGUCAAAUGCUAUAAGAAUCCAGAAACUAUUGAAAACAACCAAACAUGCCAUAAUUUACCAAGGACAUUAUCAGUUUCAGACAGGAAGAUGAAUAUGACGAGAAAAUUUGUUUAAAAUGAAAAACACUUUUUUCUUUUUGAGUAGGCUUAAAAUGCGAAACUUAAUUCGUGAUAACAAUGGGCAAAUUAAAGCAAGCUAUAUAUCUAUAUAACCCUCCCAUAUCUCCUCACUCCAAUCCCUUGCCACUUGAGCCAAGCCUUAGGGAUAAUAUUAGAUACCAUAGAAGAGCAAAACAUGAAUCAAAAACAGUCAUUUUAUUUUUAUAGUAUCUUAGGCAAGCAUUUUUAUGUUUGUUAAUCAUAAAUCUAAUGAUAGAGAAAGCUUACUCUCUUUCUUCUUUGAGGAUGCCUUAACAGAUGCCUCCCUCUCUUCUGCUGCCUUCUUCUCCUCCUCUGUCUCAUCACCAAAGAGAUCAAGGUCAUCGUC
This 922-nucleotide long non-coding RNA is filed under the name Vitis vinifera (wine grape). Its description in RNAcentral is "long non-coding RNA (VVIN_LNC001884)". Lineage: Eukaryota; Viridiplantae; Streptophyta; Magnoliopsida; Vitales; Vitaceae. The record is from RNAcentral.